AACGAACGCUGGCGGCAGGCUUAACACAUGCAAGUCGAACGCCCCGCAAGGGGAGUGGCGCACGGGUGAGUAACGCGUGGAUAUCUGCCUUUUGGUUCGGAAUAACCCCGGGAAACUGGGGCUAAUACCGGAUGGUUCCUACGGGAUAAAGAUUUAUCGCCAAAAGAUGAGUCCGCGUACGAUUAGCUAGUUGGUGAGGUAAUGGCUCACCAAGGCGACGAUCGUUAGCUGGUCUGAGAGGACGAUCAGC
This 250-nucleotide ribosomal RNA is filed under the name uncultured bacterium. RNAcentral's name for it is "partial 16S ribosomal RNA". It matches the Rfam family "Bacterial small subunit ribosomal RNA", at positions 29 to 308 of the family's 1533-position model. The record is from RNAcentral.